GGGUGUAGUUCACGGUAGAAGGCCGGCCGGCCGGGUACGGAAGCGGAGGACGGCCUGUAUGUUGGGCUCUGGGCCGUGGCGGAUGUGCCCGUUUUCACGAAACCACCCACCGUCCAGGAAGGGCGGUGCCAAGCGGAUUCACAGCGGAACAGCCUCCCCCCUUCCCGGUUAACAGAAAUAACGGAGAAAGCUCCGGCCGUCCCCGUCCCCUGGCACCCGCGUAGUACGUCUUUUUAGCCGGAUUGAGCGUCCGGAAAGCAGCAAAUUAGCGCUUGUCAGGAUGAAAUCCACAACGGCGUUCGCGGUGUGUUACCGAAGAGGCCCUCCCACUUCCAUUUAAGCAUCAGGACAACACCCCUGUUCUGCUGUGCCCGCGUGCCUCCGCUGCUCCCAGCACGUCGUCGCCGCCUGGAAGGCCACCGAAAACCAGCCACUAUUUUGUUCUCAACCUUGCUGCAGAAGCGUGUGCGGGCGGCGUGCAUUUGUCACUGGACCAAGUGGCGUCAGUGUGUCUCUUAAAGAUGACUGGUCAAAACGUAGGGAAACUACCUUCAGUGCACGUACUCGUACAAGGAGAACAACAACAGAACCAAGCAAAUGACAGAACAACUCAUCCCGCAGUGACGCAUGAGAGUACCUUGACCUCGAGGAGGUAGAUGAAGACAAGAGGAGAUGCCUGCAGUGUGCGUGCGUGCAGUCCACUAGCUAGCUUUGAAGACGACGAUGCGAUCCUAAGAGUCGAGGAAGACCUUUCCAGUGGCGCUAAGUGGAGGGUGCAGCACACCAUAAAGAUCCAAGGCUCAACUCUUCCUGCCCUGAUUGAUGACCUCACGGUGCCAUUUUGCAUACAUGUGAUCAUCACGUGUGUCAUCACAGCACAUACAACAUGAUGUGCUCUCUUACAUAUCGUGCUCCCACGCUAUAUCGCGGUUCAUCCUUCGUGACUCUGCUCUAUCACGGAUUUGUAAGUGAUCUUUUUUUUAAUGGGUUUGAACAGUGUACAGUAAAUCCCCUUUUAUUGCGCACGAAACAUUCCAGACCUACCCGUGUUAUAAAGACAGAAUAUAAAAAAAAAACAUUUAAAAGGUAGUUAUUUGUCACUCCCAGGUGAAGUUUAUGGGAAAACUGACGCAUCAAAUUUUAAAAAGACAUUGUAACAUAAAACACUUUAUAUUAUAAACCACAAUGUUCAACCAAACCAUAUCAUUUGGUUAAACUGUGCUAGCUUACUGCUAACGUAACAUGUAACACCAACACACACGGAGCAGCAACACACACAAACAGAGCAUACAGUAAGAGAAUUAAACGUUGCGGGAAAAUCAUGAACCAAACUAUACAGUUUUGUCUAAUGAACGUCAGCUAGCUUAAUGCUGACAUACAAUGUGAAACGCCAUCGAUGGGCUAAUGGAAAUGAGCAUAAAUGUUGCAGUGACUAUAAAUCUUCAGCAUCGCAUACCACAAAAGUUAAUUAAGCAUUGUAUAGUUAAGCCCAUCAAAAUGUUCAACCAAACCGUACAGAAGAGGCAGAGAAUUUCCCCACUGUGAGCAAUGUUUUAUGCUCUGCUUGUAUGUGAUGCUGCUCCAUGUGUUAAAGUAGCAGUUGUUUAACGGUUUAUAGUUACCGUGGCAUCAGUGCUAAUGUCUACGAGCCAGUCUAUGACGUUUCACAUUAUAUGUCAGCAUGAAGCUAGCAAAAAUUCAAUUAGUGCAUAUGGUUUGGUUGAACGUUUUGGUUAUUAAAUUGACAAUCAUGUUUAAAUCUCUUUGUUUUAUAUGUCAGUUUUGCAGUAAACUUGAACUUCUCUCGGAGUGAUGAAUAAACAGCAAGCACACUUAGCCUCGUAUUUGGAGCACUGUGUAAGUAUGAGAGUGAAAACAGGCGCUAAAAAUACUUUUAAAAGUGUUUUAAUGAGUUAAAUAUGUUAAAGUGUGUUGGAUUGGUUAAACUAUUUAAAAAAUAAGCUCUCUAUAUUGCAGAUUUUCACCUGUUGCAAGUUGGUUUGGAAUGUAUCCCCCGUGAUAAAUGGGGGAAUCACUGUACAACCAUUGCUUCCUCACACUGCUUUUUCUUUGAGGAAUAAAUUAACAAUUUGUUGCACGGCAAUUUGCAUGAAAAAGCGGGCGGGCGGUUUCCAGUCAAUUUAACAGCAGGUCAUCUCUAGCCCGGCCUCCUCCUGCUCUCUUCGCCCUUAAAUGUGAUGGCAGGCAUUGUGGCGAGGUGAAGCGCAAUGUGUGGGAGGUGCAGGAGUUAACCAAGAAUAUAGAAUGAAUGGUGUGGGUGUGUUAGCAUACAGGCUAUUAAUCUGCAUUCACAUUAUGCUAAGCUAGUUGGUGUUUGAUGGGCUGGGCACAAAAACAUUUUUUUGUUUUGUGUUUUACUAUCAUGCUGUAAUGUAUUCUUUUAUGUACAAGUAUCUUUGCUCUUUGGCAAAGAGUAUUGACAAACGGAUUAAAAGGUUCACUGCAAUUCCAUCAUUUGUUGCUAAAA
This is a long non-coding RNA of Phycodurus eques (leafy seadragon), 2488 nucleotides long. RefSeq lists it as uncharacterized. The transcript has 5 exons. The record is from RefSeq and is a predicted model, not a curated record. Lineage: Eukaryota; Metazoa; Chordata; Actinopteri; Syngnathiformes; Syngnathidae.